GCUUACUUACACAGCAAAAGAAUAGUCCACAGGGAUAUCAAGGCGGAUAACAUUCUCGUUGAUUCUUAUGGCUUUGUAAAGCUUAUUGACUUUGGUUUGGCUAAACAUGGGCAUGAAUCUAUGGGCAGUGACUCCUUGUGGGGAACUUCACAUUAUGCAGCUCCAGAGACUCUUCAGAAUCAAGAAUAUAGCAGCUCGGGUGAAGCCUAUAGCGCUGAUAUAUGGAGUUUGGGUUGUGUAAUCAUUGAAAUGUUCACAGGGAAGCGCCCUUGGCUUGAUCUU
This is a long non-coding RNA of Neltuma alba, 282 nucleotides long. RefSeq lists it as uncharacterized. Lineage: Eukaryota; Viridiplantae; Streptophyta; Magnoliopsida; Fabales; Fabaceae. The transcript has 4 exons. The record is from RefSeq and is a predicted model, not a curated record.